This 6856-nucleotide unclassified non-coding RNA is filed under the name Sitophilus oryzae (rice weevil). RNAcentral's name for it is "coiled-coil domain-containing protein 6, transcript variant X2". Lineage: Eukaryota; Metazoa; Arthropoda; Insecta; Coleoptera; Curculionidae. The record is from RNAcentral.
ACAGUAUUUAGUACUGUCAAAUUUAAUCGUUGUACAAAAAAUACUAUCAAAAAGUAUGUGCCCAUGUUGAUAGCCCGUUUAUUUUAUAAUUUUUCGAAGCCUUAUAGCAUGCCGUAUUGUUGAUUAAUCUUUGUAUAACAUAUUUAUAGUGCAAUCCAAACAGUAACCUAUCUUUCUCAUAUUUCCCAGUCGUGUAUACUAUUCUAUAUAUCGCGUACAUUCCGGCAUUUUAUACCCCCCUCAUCUAUUUUGAAAUUUUUUUCCUCAGCGAAAAGUUAUUAGUCACCCUCGUUAGUGUGAGUGGAUUUAAUUCGAUCUCAAAAAAGUUUCAAAAGAAAAAAAAAACAUUCUUUGUGCUAUGGCUGACUCUGCAAGCGAAUCCGAUUCAAGCAGCAUUGACGGUGGUCCUAUAAUGAUGCCACCUAGUCCCAUUACAAGGGAACAAUUGCAAAAAAGAAUUGAGAGUCUGCAGCAACAAAAUAGGGUGUUAAAGGUUGAAUUGGAAACAUAUAAAUUACGAGUUAAAGGGUUACAGGAGGAAAACAGGGAUUUGAAGAAAGCCUCAGUAAUUAUUCAAGCAAAGGCAGAACAGGAAGAAGAAUAUAUAAGUAACACCUUGUUAAAGAAGAUUCAAGCACUUAAAAAGGAAAAAGAAACAUUAGCACAUCACUAUGAACGAGAGGAAGAGUGUCUUACUAAUGAUCUGUCCAGAAAACUGACACAGCUCAGACAAGAAAAAUGCAGAUUAGAGCAAACUUUGGAGCAGGAGCAGGAGUGUUUAGUAAAUAGGUUAAUGAGAAAAAUUGAGAAGUUAGAGGCUGAGACUUUAGCUAAACAAAGCAAUCUUGAACAGCUGCGCAGAGAGAAGGUGGAGCUUGAGAAUACUCUGGAACAAGAACAAGAAGCCUUAGUAAACAAGCUGUGGAAGCGCAUGGACAAACUUGAAGCAGAAAAAAGAAUGUUACAAAUUAAGCUUGAUCAACCGGUUUCUGAUCCAGCUAGUCCUAGAGAUAUUAGCAAUGGAGAUACUGCAACUAACCUUAGCGCACAUAUUCAAACUUUAAGACAAGAAGUGGCGAGACUAAGGCAGACUUUGGCUAUUAGUCAACAAGAGCAUACUCAGAAGAUGCAGAAAUAUGCUCAAGAAGAAAGGAAUAUCAAAGAGGAGAACAUGAGAUUACAGAGGAAACUUCAGCUCGAAGUUGAGCGCAGAGAGGCUUUAUGUAGACACCUUUCAGAAAGCGAGAGUUCUUUAGAGAUGGAGGAAGAGAGGCAUUUCAAUGAACAAGUAUUAGCGCUUAGGCAGCAUACUGUGUCUCCAAUUCCUUAUAAUCCGUCUCCAAGUCAGAGCCGGCCAUUAAGCCCAGGACUGGCUUCUCACAUACAAACCACCUCGUCCCGUCUUUCUGAUGCUCUGCUGGGCGCUGUGUCCGGCGUUCCGCCCCCACGAUGCCCCGCCUGCGGUCAGAUGCCCUCCGGCAGCCCCCCAGCUCCGCCACAUCGUAGGCCCUCGGAGCGGUUCGUGAAGCCGGCCGUGCCGGCGCUGAGCGUGAAUUCUCUGCCCGGUGGCGUCGCGGUUCCUCCACCUCCCGUCGCUACUGUGGUGGCGCAGCCGGCCAGUCCUAUGGACACUAGCGUGAGCAAAGAUUAAUAUGCGUUCCCGUCACGCAGACUUUUUGGACUACCCACCAUCCUAAUAAUGAACAUUCUUGGCGUGGUGGUACCACACGGAUCCCAAUGAAACUUUACCCCCUGCUGGAUAUGGCUUUGACACAAUCUCCUACAUUAUUAGUUAUAUGUUGAAUAUUAACAAUGCGUUUUGUAACAUCUAAUUAACAUAACAACUGAAAAUCAUAAAAACGAGUUUUCAGCUACAAAAGCCGAACGUUUUGAUACAUCGUAUAUUUUUAUCGAUUUGAUGCUUGUUGCUGUAUCGGAAAAUAAUAUAUCCUGUAUUGUACUUAUAUGUAGACUUGCUUGAACAUUUUUUUUAAAAACAAUUCGACUUUUACGAGCGCAUGAACAUUGACAUUAUGUUUUUUUAGUGGGAAAUUCCUAUACAGAUUUAUUUGGUCAUCGUAGAAGCGUGGCCUGGAUUUUAACGUGUAAGACAGUGAUGGAGACAGCGUAAUGAAAAAUCAAAUGUAUUAAAAAGAGAAAACAUUUGGGUUGAUACAUUUUCUUUUAUGCGGUAUUGCCGGAUUUAGCGUCACGAAAAAUGUUGUAUCUAUACAAAACACUAAUUGGCAAAACGUUGAGGUAAAAGAAAUAGAACAAUACACACAGAAAAAGGUCAGAAGUUGUUUAGAGAGUACCGAUUUCUAUUAGUUAAAUAUUUUUUAAGUUUUGCCUUAAAUAUUUUUUCUAAAUUUACCCUAAAAAAUUUGCCAUGUUGUUAAGUAAAUGUUUAAGAGAAAUGAACAUUAAAUACGUAGCUUAAAUAUAGUAUCUUCGUUUAUUAUGUUAUUUCACGUACGAACUGGCAACACUGUAUGUCGUUUUUUAUUUUGUCUCUCUGUCUGUCGACUGGUCGUAUAUAUUUUGUCUUUGUCGUAUGCAUUAAAAUACAGACCACGAAAAUACAGUGACCAGAGUUAGUUACUGUACACGAUUUUAGAUUUUUUUUUAGAAAGUUUUCAUUUAAUAUUAUCUUUAUUUCUACUGUGAGUGCUUACGAACGUUUAAAUAUUGUGAUGUAAUAAUUGAAUUAAAAAAAACUAACGAGCGACUUCAAAGAAGUCGCUUUUUCAUUGCCAAGUUUACACUCUUUUUGUGAUAUUUAAAAUUAUAAAACAAUGAAAAUAGUGGGCGUAUGAAACUUGUAAACGAUUAUAUAUAGUGUAUUUUCUAUUAAACUUUUAAUGUCCAUUAAUUGUACAGAAUGUCUCAUUUUCGAUAUGCUUGCUAAAUAGGCAAAAAUGGCGAAAAGGGGACACCCUGUACAGACUGCUCUAGUUUUUAAUUCCAAAAUUUUUAAACAAUACACAGUACAUAUAUUUUUCUUCUGUUUUAAUGACAACAUUCAGGUCAUUUAUUUGAAAUCUACCAUAUGACCGAAAAAAAGGGCGUCAAAGUGACCUUUAGAAUGACAAGCUGAUAAUUUCUAUCGAGCUUGCGUCUAUAAAUCUUUAUUAAAAAUUGACAAAAAACAAUUGUCUAAAAAUAUUUUUGGCAUGUGUUGAACAUUUUUAUAAUUUUCCACAUAAAUAUUAGUUUUUGAUGUCAAUUUUUAAAAAACGAUAGAUACUAGAGGUAGGCCCUGCAAAUUAUCAGCAAUUAUUGCGAAAAGUCAUUGUGACCCUGUUCUUUUUCAAUCGCAUGGUAUAAAAUCCAAAAUUUUGGUAUAAAAACUCGAUCUGUCUGUAUAUUCUCGGUAUUUUUCUUCUUCUGUGUCUUUAAAGAGAGAACACAAAAUGUUUUAAAAGAAAUGCCUAGAUUAAUUCACAGUAUUUUAAGAAAAUAAAGUAACUUUGAAAAUCAGAACCGUUUUAAGUUUGCUCAUCGAAUAUGAAAACACAAAAAGAAGCUUGAUUAUGUAGACUAUGUAAUUCAAUUUUAUAUGCGUCUGGUUAUGUAGCUAUAUUAUAUAAAUGUUGAACUGGUGUUUGUUAAAGUUUUCUGGAUGUUUUCUCAGUAUUAUUUAGAACUUUUCCAAAUUUUGUUUUUUUACUUUUUUACUCUAAUCCUUAGCAACAAAAAAUAUUCAUGUAGGACUUAAAUUAGGUAAAAAAUAUUAUAUUACAAAAUAAUAAUAAUAAUAUUUGUUCUUUUUUAUCAAAAAUACUGAAUUUAAGUUGCUAAGAUACUGAGUGAAGUAGGCAGUAAAAUUGCAUUUUUUGCGCUACCUUGACGCUAAAAUUCACUUUAAAAAUUGGAAGGAAACUUAAAACGCUUGUAUUUUUUUAAUAGAAUUAUAUUUUCUAUAUGUUCAUAGAGAAUGUACAUUUUCUGUGUACAAUUUCUGGUAUCCAGUAUCUUCUCCAAAAAAAUCAUAGUUCAACAGAAUUUUGAUUUUCAGAGUUGCCUAUAAAAACUCGCUGUUAGUAAUAAGCAAUAAUGGGCUUUAGCUUAUGGUGUAUAUUAUCUUUCACAAAAGUUUAAAAUAUUAUUACAGGGUGGUCAAAAAAUAUAGUCCGUCGAAAAAAGUUCACAUACUACUUAAUAAAGGCGAAUCUAGUUAACUAAACCAUUUGAAUAUUUUUCGAACACCUUGUACAAAUUAAAAUCUAAGACUAUAUUUGUAAAGUUCUUAUCUAGCCAUACACAAAUGUUCCAAUAAUAGGAUUUACGUUGAGAACUGACGACUUUCUUCAGUUUUUAUUUUUGAGUUUCUUAUAAAUAUUAUGAAAAAUUAACCAAGUGAUAUUAGAAUAAAAAAGUAGGUUUCUUCGUUAGGUUGCCCUGUUGCAGCUAAAAUUAGAAUGAUGUAGAAUAUAAAAACCUUGACUCAAAUCAGAUUAUUUUUUAGUUUAGGUUAGGUAGGUUUUCAUUUUUUUUUCUUAUUUACUUUAUUUGUUAAAAUAUUUUUUUCUUAGAAAAAAGUAACAAUAUUUAUUACUAAAGUCUGUCCAACCAGCCAGGGAAGAUAUCGGCAGACGACAUCCAAAAAAUGGCGGAAAAUACAAUUUACAUGUGCAUUAAAAUGAUAGACACAACUGUCAUCGUUAUGCAUCUUCUCGUUGGACAGACUAUAUAUAACCUAUGAUAGAAUGAAAACAAGGUCAAAACAGGCAUGAAAGUAACAUUUGAGUUCUCCAUUUUUUUGUGUUAUCUCUGGAGUUCUUGAGACUGAUAGCUAAUUGUGAGGUAAUUCCUUGUUAGGUUCCUAGAGGUGGCUAUCGGCCUGAUCCACUGCGACCUUCUCAGAUCUAUUGUAGUCCAAUUCCUUGUUAACUGUUUAUAUUUAUUAUAUUGCAAAUACUUCAAGUAAUACACUGGCAAGCUAUUUGUAAGUAAUACACUAAUACACUGGCUAAUACACUUGCAAGCUAUAACUGGCAAGAACCUCAAUAGUAGGCAUAGUAAAACUCGAAUUCAAAUGUUACAUAAUCGACUGUGUGGUCCAUUUAGUCCUACUGUAUUAUACAGGAUGAGUCUGAAAUAAGUGCGCAUAUUUUCAGGGCUGGUACUUCCCGAAUCAUAUAAUAUAACAUUUUAUUUUUACCAUUUUAAAACGUUUACCGUUCAAAACAGUGAAACCAAAGCAAUCAAAACACGCUGUAAGCUUUGUUAGAACUAUAUUAUGAGAACCUCAACCUUAUUUCAGAAGAAAAUCAUAUAAAAUAAUUUUAAUAUAAAACCUCUGACGAGGGGUAGGGGACUCAAGAAACUCACAAUCUUUUAGGAUGUUUAUUUCAAAAUAAACAAUAAAAAUUAAUUUUAUUACUUAAAACAAAUUGAAGGGUCCAGGGGAAAACCAUAUGAUAAGCGUCAUUUUACCAAUUUUACAGGAGAGCACUGGACCACAGAAUAUACACCAUACAGAAGCGACAAAGAGCUUUGAAUAGCAUUGGUCAAAUGGGAACUAAUUGCGUGACGUCACGUUUGACAUCCGUGCGCCUUGAACAGCAUUUCACACUGAAAGAAAAUUGUUAGAUUUUAAUAGAAAAUGAUGAAAAGCAGGUUUAUUUAAUUUUUAAAAACUAGAGGGAUUUAAAUCAGUAUUUUUAUUUAGAGUUAAAAAUAAAUAAAUAAUUAUGAAAUAUAUUUUUUAGUCUUUUAUGCAUAAUAUCUAGAAAUAAUUAUACCUGCGGUCGUGAAUUUUUUUUGGUGUAUAAUUCUUUGACGUCACGUUUGACAGUUAACCAGCAUUGCCCCCUCCUAAAAAUUUUGAAGAAAAUCUCUUUGUCGCUUCUAUAUGGUGUAUAUUUUGUGACUGGACGGCUCGCGGCUCAUUAGGUUCUUUCCGUAUAUUCUAUAUUUUUACUAGGCAUAUGUCAUAGGAUUUAACAACUUAAUUGGCCCUGCAGAGUUUACACAUUUUGUACGGACCAGUUAGACCUACUAUAAUAUUGAUAAAAUCCUAAAAUUAAGAAAUUGGCGCUUAUUAAGUUUUUUCCCUGGACCCUUCAAUUUGUUCAAUUGCCUUCGCAUGGCCGUCGAUCAACUGUCAAUCGAAAAAGUCAAUGGCAGCUGGCUUGGAUGUAAAUACAUAUAUUUUCUUAAUUUUUAUGCUUACAAAGAAGUUUUAUUAAAUUUUUGUGCUUAAAUUAGGUCAAUCCACAUCUAUAUAAUAAAGUAUUAAUAUCUGACGUUUUUACUGAAUCUAUAGAAAAUUUUACAUAUUUACUGUCCGUAAUCUACUACCUAUGUUGCCAUAUUAUCAAGAUAUCAUUUUUACUUGAAAAUUAAAAGAUUCUCCAGAAAUCUUUCAAAAAUACAUUUUUAAUUUCUUUUCGCGAAAAUCCGUAAUAGACGUAUUCCUGGAAUCGAAAUAUACCACCCCUAAAAAUAUGUGUGCACUUAUUUAAGACAUCCUGCAUAAUAAAGAGUGUUUUGCCAUCUUAAGAUGAGUUUAUAUGCAUCCCCCACUCCAAUCAUGUUGACUAAAUUGUAUAAAAACAACACGGCGGUAAAAACAAUGACGGAUGCCUGUAAACCCACACUUAAAAUUUUAAAGCUAUAUUUUUAAAAUUCGAUAUAGAUUCAUUCUCAAAAUGAGUAAAGCUGAACUGCAACUCGGAUCAAAUUGUAGAAACUAAAUAUCUUUAUAAAUUGUUUGAAAAUAUUAUUUUUUGGAAAACGAAUAAUCAGGGUCACUUCUAGAGACUUUUUUUAACCACCCUGUCCUACUCUAGUUAUUUAAUUUCUGUUAAGUUUGUUGCUAAGGUAUAAUAAAGGUAAUUUUUCAAAAUUA